CAGAAAACAAAAACUAGACAAUAUCGCGGCAGCUGAUAUAACACAGACAACUAACGUUGGGACACAGCGAAAAUAAACAGAAAAAUUGAUCAUCGAAUCCAAUCAUUAAUAUUGGUUCGAAAUAUAAGCCUGAAAUGAACACCCCAACAUCCACAACUAGACAACAGACCAAUUAGCGGGUCGUAUCCUGACUUUUAGAAAACUGAUACCAGCAGUCGGAAAUUUGAAAUGCGGAAUUGCUUAAUAAGUAACAGGACUGGAUAUCUUUUAGAUUCAGCGAUGUCUUUAGUGAAACAUCCUAUUUUUUGCGGGCAGAAGUGAAGAGUGUGGGCGGUAGCUGACCGGAAAACCUAAGAAUGAGAUCCUAUCUUCGGAUGAAAUCAAAGGAUUUAGUGUAAAACCACGUAAGUGAGUUGCAAUGACCCAAAGGACGUAUUCACAGAAACACCAUUGGACUGCGGCCAUAUUGGAGCACCGCGUUGGUGGGUUUAAUCGGACAAAUCGACCCCAAGAUUUAUUUUUCUUCUAUUCUUUUAUUCUUUUCUCUUUUUUUUUUUUUUACUUGUUUCAGUCAUUUGACUGCAGCCAUGCUGGAGCACCACCAUAAAGGGCUUUUUAGUCGAGGAAAUCGACCCCAAGACUUAUCCUUUGUAAGCCAAGUACUUAUUCUAUCGGUCUCUUUUGCCGAACUACGGGGACGUAUACAAAACAACACCGGCUGUAUGUAUGUAUAAUUGUGUGUGUGUGUGUGUUGAAACCUGCUGGAAGAUGUGAAUCUACCCUCUGAGAAGGGCACGGUAGAGUCUCUUUCUUGUGACCAUUGCGUCAUAUCUGCUUCUCCAAGGCAGGCCAACUCGGCCACAUCCAUAGUAACAGAAGCACGUCCUCCAACCAGUGCGAUGACAUCCAGCAUAAUCUCGUGUAACACAGUGUGUAGAUCAACCAAAGCACGUACUCGACAUUAUAAAUCUCGGCAUUUAGAAUAGUCAGGCUGCCUCCGGAAAACCAACUGCUGAUCAAACGUGGAAUGACUUGCAAGUUCUUGUAGGUCUUGAGAGUUCUUUGAGAUGUCAUCAGCGAUAAGGAAAACAAAAAGUUAAGUACUUCUUGGAAUGAAAUUAGUUUACGAAGUGGUCUUAUUCGGUCACGAGGCCACUUACAACGUAGAUGGAUGGAUGGACAGACAGACAGACAAACAGACAGACAGACAGACAGACAGACAGAUAGAUAGAUAGAUAGAUAGAUAGAUAGAUAGAUAGAUAGAUAGAUAGAUAGAUAGAUAGAUUAGACAGACAGACAGACAGACAGACAGACAGACAGACAGACAGACAGACGGAUAGACAGACAGACAGACAAACGGAUAGACAGACAGACGGCCAGAGAGAUAGGCAGACAGACAAACAGACAGUAAAGACUGAUAGAUAGAUAGAUAGAUAGAUAGAUAGAUAGAUAGAUAGAUAGAUAGAUAGAUAGAUAGAUAACGGUGUUUCUUCUAGUGUCACUAAUGGAUCUAGUUCGUUAAUUGGAUCAUUAAAACUGGCAGAAAAUAUAUUUUGCCAAGAAUUUUAUAUAUAUU
Long non-coding RNA from Octopus bimaculoides (California two-spot octopus), 1576 nucleotides. NCBI's taxonomy places the organism in Eukaryota, Metazoa, Mollusca, Cephalopoda, Octopoda, Octopodidae. The record is from RefSeq and is a predicted model, not a curated record.